ACCAAUGUAUUGGCUAACUCGCUUGAUCGUGUGAGAGAAUGUGGUUUGCCUUCGCAUGUCUUGGCACACACAUGUUCUGUGGCUGAAGUGGUUGUGCCCUAAACCUCUUUUCUCUCUGAUUGUAACCUCCUUGAAAGUAGCUAUAUCACCAACUUCUUUCUUUAAAAUCGUUAAUUUUAAUAUAUAAAUUGGCUAAUAGGGACGAAUUGUCUUUUUACUUCAGAGUUGAAGUCAGUUUUUAGGACUAAAACGAUCAAAUAGUCUCAGCCAAAAAAAAAUCGACUGCACUAGACUCAACUAUCUAUCUUUAAUUCAGCCCACCCUUACUUCGAUCACGAGUCGUUCUUGACUAACAACUUAAGAUAGUAUCUUUUUGUUGUUUAACUCUAAAGGAUAAUAAAAUAUAAUAUGGUUUAUCUUUUGAUUUAGGUAAAUACUCGAACAAACUAUAGCAUGGAAAGCAAAAGAGCAUCUUAAGAAAUCUACCUCUUUAUAAAGGAAUUAAUUGAUAAUACCUAAUGCAAAAGUAGGGCCAAAGAUAAUGAAAUUAAAUAAAGAAGAGAACCCUAAUACGUUUGGUAAAGAAAACAGGCGUAAUAUGACGGGUUUUCUUCACAACCACCUCAUACAAGUCACAACUAACAUAAUCAAUAGAAGAUAUAAAACUGAUUGGGCAAAAAUACAAAAACAAAAGCAUGUGACUCUAUCCACUAAUCACUAAGAACUAUUUUAAUAAAGGUCACAUAUGUGGUCCUUGGCUUCCAUUUGGCAUGUUCAUAUGCCAUUGUUUGUCAACCAAAUACACCAAAGACAGAGAAAACAACCAAAGCUAAAUACAAAAUGAGAGCAUCCUCACCUGAUUCCACCAACCUGGCCAAUUUAUGCCGUUUAAUUACAUUUAAUUACCAGACAUUGUUUAAUUUUGAUUAUGUGCUUGUAGGGACAAAUAGGUCUCAAACCACAUGGGAACAGUUUCUUUAAUUACUACCUAUUUUAGUGUAAGAUUAAUUGAAAUUGAAAUUGAAA
Molecule: long non-coding RNA, 1026 nt
Filed under: Medicago truncatula (barrel medic)
Lineage: Eukaryota; Viridiplantae; Streptophyta; Magnoliopsida; Fabales; Fabaceae
Description: long non-coding RNA (MTRU_LNC002120)
Source: RNAcentral